CAGGGAGAACUGUGGCUAGCCAUCCCCGCGCCCCGGCCGAAACCGAGACGCCAAGGAUGACCGCGCAACCGAUGGUGGUGUUUUGUAUUCAACGUCUCCUAAUCGCUGGUCGGCAUCGUUUAUGGUUAAGACUACGACGGUAUCUGAUCGUCUUCGAUCCCCUAACUUUCGUUCUUGAUUAAUGAAAACAUCCUUGGCAGAUGCUUUCGCAGAAGUUAAUCUUUCAUAAAUCCAAGAAUUUCACCUCUGACAAUUAAAUAUUAAUGCCCCCAACUAUCCCC
Molecule: ribosomal RNA, 281 nt
Filed under: Acanthamoeba genotype T4
Lineage: Eukaryota; Discosea; Longamoebia; Acanthamoebidae
Description: partial 18S ribosomal RNA
Source: RNAcentral